GGUAUACAACAGAGAGAAUGUAAUAUACUAGGUUCUCCACCCCAUCAAGAGUUCUCCACAGUUAUCGAAGAGAUAGAGAGAAAACAGGUUCUCCACUGUUAUCGAAGAGAUAGAGAUAAAAUAAGUUCUCCACUGUUAUUGGAGAGAUAGAGAGAAAACAGGUUCUCCACUGUUAUCGAAGAGAUAGAGAGAAAACAGGCUCUCCACUGUUAUUGGAGAGAUAGAGAGAAAACAGGUUCUCCAGUUAUUGGAGAGAUAGAGAGAAAACAGGUUCUCCAUUGUUAUUGGAGAGAUAGAGAGAAAACAGGUUCUCCACUGUUAUUGGAGAGAUAGAGAGAAAACAGGUUCUCCAUUGUUAUUGGAGAGAUAGAGAGAAAACAGGUUCUCCACUGUUAUUGGAGAGAUGUGAAGAAAA
Ostrea edulis (European flat oyster) is the source of this 415-nucleotide long non-coding RNA. RefSeq lists it as uncharacterized. The record is from RefSeq and is a predicted model, not a curated record. Lineage: Eukaryota; Metazoa; Mollusca; Bivalvia; Ostreida; Ostreidae. The transcript is spliced from 2 exons.